Non-coding RNA from Drosophila melanogaster (fruit fly), 291 nucleotides. NCBI's taxonomy places the organism in Eukaryota, Metazoa, Arthropoda, Insecta, Diptera, Drosophilidae. The record is from Ensembl.
AGAGCGAAGUAGUUGGGGCACGAGAGCAAACGUUUUUAGUUCUGCGCUCUUUGCUGAGCGCGCAUGCUUUUUGCUGAGGCAGCGAAUUUCGCGUGGGAGCUGAGAGCCAAAAAGCGUAGUAGAAUUGGCGGUUAGUAGUAGACGGAUACUAUGUGACGGAGAAGCAGUGUUGACGAUGGGAAGUAACGGAAAUUUCUGGAUAUUUUUGAAAAUGUAUAUUUCCGCUUUAAAUUUGAUAAAUAAAAUGAAGGGUAAUCACGGUACCCGGUUGUUUAAGAAACAUUUUUUUAU